This 340-nucleotide long non-coding RNA is filed under the name Ananas comosus (pineapple). RNAcentral describes it as "long non-coding RNA (ACOM_LNC040470)". Lineage: Eukaryota; Viridiplantae; Streptophyta; Magnoliopsida; Poales; Bromeliaceae. The record is from RNAcentral.
AAAAAAUAUUAGUAGAUAGAUAAAAAUAAUAUAUAAAUAUUUAUCUUAAAAAGAAAAGAUAUGGAAUGAUAAAAAUAUUUAAUAAAAAAAUAAAAUAUUAAUAGUUGGAGAAAAAAGAGGAACUAUCUUUAGAUUAUUUAUUUUGUGUACGAAAAAAAAGAAAUUUUGAAAUAGAUCUAUUGAAGGACCGAAAUUUAAAGUACGUAAUUAUAUAUAUAUAUAUAUAUAUAUAUAAUUUGGUUUCUAGAUACUUCAAGUGGUAUAGAUCCUAUUCAACGGUGUCGAUCGUCAAUUUAAAGAUUCCAUCAUCGAAAACAAAUGGGUGGCAACGGAGCCAAUU